GGGACAUGGCGGCACGAUACCAUGCAAGUCGAGCGGAACGACACUAACAAUCCUUCGGGUGCGUUAAUGGGCGUCGAGCGGCGGACGGGUGAGUAAUGCCUAGGAAAUUGCCUUGAUGUGGGGGAUAACCAUUGGAAACGAUGGCUAAUACCGCAUAAUGCCUACGGGCCAAAGAGGGGGAUCUUCGGACCUCUCGCGUCAAGAUAUGCCUAGGUGGGAUUAGCUAGUUGGUGAGGUAAUGGCUCACCAAGGCGACGAUCCCUAGCUGGUCUGAGAGGAUGAUCAGCCACACUGGAACUGAGACACGGUCCAGACUCCUACGGGAGGCAGCAGUGGGGAAUAUUGCACAAUGGGCGAAAGCCUGAUGCAGCCAUGCCGCGUGUAUGAAGAAGGCCUUCGGGUUGUAAAGUACUUUCAGUUGUGAGGAAGGGGGUAACGUUAAUAGCGUUAUCUCUUGACGUUAGCAACAGAAGAAGCACCGGCUAACUCCGUGCCAGCAGCCGCGGUAAUACGGAGGGUGCGAGCGUUAAUCGGAAUUACUGGGCGUAAAGCGCAUGCAGGUGGUUCAUUAAGUCAGAUGUGAAAGCCCGGGGCUCAACCUCGGAACUGCAUUUGAAACUGGUGAACUAGAGUGCUGUAGAGGGGGGUAGAAUUUCAGGUGUAGCGGUGAAAUGCGUAGAGAUCUGAAGGAAUACCAGUGGCGAAGGCGGCCCCCUGGACAGACACUGACACUCAGAUGCGAAAGCGUGGGGAGCAAACAGGAUUAGAUACCCUGGUAGUCCACGCCGUAAACGAUGUCUACUUGGAGGUUGUGGCCUUGAGCCGUGGCUUUCGGAGCUAACGCGUUAAGUAGACCGCCUGGGGAGUACGGUCGCAAGAUUAAAACUCAAAUGAAUUGACGGGGGGCCCGCACAAGCGGUGGAGCAUGUGGUUUAAUUCGAUGCAACGCGAAGAACCUUACCUACUCUUGACAUCCAGAGAAGCCAGCGGAGACGCAGGUGUGCCUUCGGGAACUCUGAAACAGGUGCUGCAUGGCUGUCGUCAGCUCGGGUUGUGAAAUGUUGGGUUAAGUCCCGCAACGAGCGCAACCCUUAUCCUUUGUUUGCCAGCGAGUAAUGGCCGGGAACUCCAGGGAAGACUGCCGGGUGAUAAACCGGAAGGA
RNAcentral lists this ribosomal RNA (1162 nucleotides) under Vibrio sp. Wash11.1. RNAcentral describes it as "bacterial SSU rRNA". It matches the Rfam family "Bacterial small subunit ribosomal RNA", at positions 30 to 1171 of the family's 1533-position model. The record is from RNAcentral. Lineage: Bacteria; Pseudomonadati; Pseudomonadota; Gammaproteobacteria; Vibrionales; Vibrionaceae.